AAAAACAACACACAGAUACACAAUACAUAAACACAAUACAUAAACACAGCACUAGAAGGUUAAUUUUCAAAACAAGGAAGAAACCGAAUCAACAAAGACCGAGAGCUCUCUCUUUCUUUUUAGGUGCCAUUGAAACCCUAUCAACAGAAGAAGACGCUUUUCAUUCGGUCAGGAAUCAAUUAGUCCAUUGAAUCGAAAUUUCUCUUCUGCCCCGCCUUCUCUCGCUCUCUCCAUCGCCGGAGAGGUUGAUCCCAACUUAGAAUGGCAAACGAAACGCCGCCUGAUCACAACCUUCAACAUCUCCAAUCUGCUAGGGUUUCAAGUCCAACAUAACGUUAAGAGCGGAAAACGAAUUCGUUUUUUUUUUUUUACUAGUCUGGAAAUUAAUUUCUUUUUGUAAAUAUUAUUUGAAUCGGACGGGGUGUUACAAGUAGAACAACGCCACAUGGCGCCGGCUAAAGGAUGUGUGUUAGUGUUGGAUAAAGCCAGGAGGUGUAUACGGACGGUGAUCUUCAUGGUAGCGAUGGUUGCAUCGCUGCUUGUUUCUUCUAUGCCGGUGCUGGUGGCGAUUGGAGAUGUAUUGGUGCCGUGCGUUUUGGUUUCGAGUUUUACUUGUUUGAGUUGCUAUGGAUUUAAGGAGCAUUUGCACAGAUACGCCCUUAAGAGUUCCUUGACGGAUAUUCCUCUCGUUUCCGUAGUCAGAUCUCUUAUCAUCAUCUGUGUUUAUUUGAUGUGUGAUGCUCCUGCUCUUUCACAUGGCCCUUACCUUGGAACUGUGACACUCUGCUCUGUUGUUUCAGUUCUUCUUCUUUCAGUUAAGGCUUGUGUUUUCACCAUGAAUUCUCAAAUUGAGGCUCAAGCUUCGUCUUCCCUUUCAAGACAAAAACUUCAUUUGAAGAAGUCGUGGGGAAUGCCUGUCUUGUUUCUGUCAUCAGUGGUUUUUGCUCUUGGCCACACUGUGGUUGCUUAUAGAACUAGCUGCAGAGCACGGAGAAAGCUUUUGUUUCACCGAGUUGACCCAGAAGCUGUGCUGUCUUGUAAAAAUGUUUUCUCUGGUUACCAGAAGGUGCCACGAUCUCCCACUCCUACUGCAGGAAGAACACCUAAAAGCGACAGUGAAAUGAGGCGAAAGCCUUUUGGCAUGGUUCAUGAUGAAGGGGAACUACCUAUCAGAUUGCUUGCUGAUAUUGACAGCUUAUUCCUUACAUGUCAAGGGCUUACAAUCCACUACAAGCUAUGCUUGCCUGGUUCACCCCCUCGUUCUUUAUCUUCUGCAGCAUUUUUUGAGCCUUCUCCUGGCUGUAGCUCACCAAAGAUGACAGUUGGAAGGCUAAAACUUGAAAGGCAGCCAUUCAACAUGUUGAAAACACAGCAUAAUCUUCAUAGAAGUUAUAGCAAUCAGUUUCAUAGCUCUUCUCUGUAUGCUCCACUAUUGGAUGUGUCUCCAACUUCUCCUGUUCUUUCUGAAGAAAUUCCUGUUCUGACCCUAGAUGCUGCUUGUGAGGAGAAUGAAAUGAGUACAGUGAACUGUGGAUCUUCCGAGCAGGAUAUGGUGGAAAGUGGCCAGUUUGGUAUUGUUUUAGUUCAUGGCUUCGGUGGAGGAGUCUUCUCAUGGAGGCAUAUGAUGGGGGUUCUUGCCAGGCAAGUUGGUUGCAUGGUUGCUGCUUUUGAUAGGCCUGGUUGGGGAUUAACAUCUCGGCCUCGUCGGAAGGAUUGGGAAGAUAAAGAAUUGCCGAAUCCAUAUAAGCUUGAAACUCAGGUUGACCUGCUUCUUGCCUUCUGUUCUGAGAUGGGAUUUUCCUCAGUACUGCUUGUUGGUCAUGAUGAUGGAGGCUUGCUUGCUCUGAUGGCUGCACAAAGACUUCAAACAUCAAUCAAUUCUUUCAAUGUAACAAUAAAAUCGAUAGUAUUGCUAAAUGUUAGUUUGUCAAGAGAAGUGGUUCCUGCCUUCGCUAGGAUACUCCUUCGCACUUCACUCGGGAAGAAACACCUCGUUCGCCCUCUUCUUCGGACAGAAAUUGUUCAAGUGGUGAACAGGCGUGCAUGGUAUGAUGCAACCAAGCUUACACCAGAGACUUUAAGCCUGUACAAGGCCCCAUUAUAUGUGGAAGGUUGGGAUGAAGCACUCCAUGAGAUAGGUAAAUUGUCGUGUGAGACUGUCCUUUCACCACAAAUUUCUGCAUCAUUGCUGAAGGCAGUAGAAGACAUGCCAGUUUUAGUCAUCACAGGUGCUGAAGAUGCCCUUGUCCCUCUUAAAUCAUCCCAAGCUAUGGCUUCAAAACUUGUAAAUUCUAGACUGGUCGCCAUUUCUGGAUGUGGGCAUCUUCCACACGAAGAGUGCCCCAAGGCAUUACUUGCAGCUAUGUCCCCGUUCAUAAGCAGACUAUUGUUGCAAACAGAUUUGGAGAACCAAUAGGAUACCCUUUCUUUUUUUAACUUAUCGAUUAGGCUUGUAUCUUGUUUAGGUUUUUUGUUUUUUUUUUUUUUUUUUUUUAAAUCCCUUCCUCCCUCUCUUUCUUCUUCUUCUCUUUUUUUACCAAGCAAUUUACCCUAGAGAGGGAUUAAUGUUUAUGCCUUUUCUUUAGGGGGUAUUUUUGGUGUUCUAUUUUCAAGCCUUAUCCAAGCCCUGAUUCCCCAGGGUUUAUAGCUUCCUCAUUUUGUAAUUUUUUAAAAAAUAUUUUCUCUUAUAAUUUUUCCUUGUGAAGAUCCAAGCAAUUGAAAGCAUGUGGAAAGUUGCUGCUGUUCCUGUUGAACUGAACUAGUCUUACCUUCUGUGUAAAUAGAUCUCUUUUUCUUCC
Jatropha curcas is the source of this 2798-nucleotide non-coding RNA. The record is from RefSeq and is a predicted model, not a curated record. Lineage: Eukaryota; Viridiplantae; Streptophyta; Magnoliopsida; Malpighiales; Euphorbiaceae.